RNAcentral lists this small nucleolar RNA (106 nucleotides) under Phaseolus vulgaris (common bean). Its description in RNAcentral is "Plant small nucleolar RNA R71". It matches the Rfam family "Plant small nucleolar RNA R71". From Rfam's summary of the family: R71 is a member of the C/D box family of snoRNAs containing the C (UGAUGA) and D (CUGA) box motifs. Multiple nearly identical copies of this snoRNA have been identified in Arabidopsis, and it is thought to function as a 2'-O-ribose methylation guide for 18S ribosomal RNA. The record is from Rfam by way of RNAcentral. Lineage: Eukaryota; Viridiplantae; Streptophyta; Magnoliopsida; Fabales; Fabaceae.
AACCCAUGAUUUGGUCAUUUUCUAAGCAUGAUUUUGAAUCUCUCCCAUGUCUCACAUAAAGAUUUAUCUGCUCCUUGUCUGAACAUAGAGAUUUCAAUCUUUGGUU